This 116-nucleotide ribosomal RNA is filed under the name Clostridioides difficile. The record is from RNAcentral. Lineage: Bacteria; Bacillati; Bacillota; Clostridia; Peptostreptococcales; Peptostreptococcaceae. RNAcentral also lists the same sequence under 1 other name.
GUCGGUGUUGAUUGCGGUGAGGGUCCACCCGUUCCCAUCCCGAACACGGAAGUUAAGCUCACCUGCGCCGAAAAUACUUGUCUGGAGACGGACUGGGAAGAUAGGUAACGCCGACA